This 440-nucleotide ribosomal RNA is filed under the name Danio kyathit. RNAcentral's name for it is "partial 12S ribosomal RNA". It matches the Rfam family "Bacterial small subunit ribosomal RNA", at positions 761 to 1405 of the family's 1533-position model. The record is from RNAcentral. Lineage: Eukaryota; Metazoa; Chordata; Actinopteri; Cypriniformes; Danionidae.
AAAGCUUCAAACUGGGAUUAGAUACCCCACUAUGCUUAGCCAUAAACAAAGACAUUAAAAUACAACAAUGUUCGCCCGGACACUACAAGCAUAAGCUCAAAACCCAAAGGACCUGACGGUGCCUUAGACCCCCCUAGAGGAGCCUGUUCUAGAACCGAUUAUCCCCGUUAAACCUCACCAUUUUUAGUAACAUCAGCCUAUAUACCACCGUCGCCAGCUUACCCUGUGAAGGCAUAACAGUAAGCAAGAUGGGCAUAGCCCAAAAAGUCAGGUCGAGGUGUAGCACAUGAAAUGGGAAGAAAUGGGCUACAUUUUCUACCCCAGAAUAUACGAAUAUGUAAUAUGAAAUAAUACUUGAAGGAGGAUUUAGUAGUAAAAGAGAAAUAGAGUGUCUCUUUGAACCCGGCUCUAAGGCGCGUACACACCGCCCGUCACCCUCU